GAUGAACGCUGGCGGCGUGCCUAAUACAUGCAAGUCGAGCGAACAGACGAGGAGCUUGCUCCUCUGACGUUAGCGGCGGACGGGUGAGUAACACGUGGAUAACCUACCUAUAAGACUGGGAUAACUUCGGGAAACCGGAGCUAAUACCGGACAAUAUAUUGAACCUCUUGUUUCAAUAUUGAAAGACGGUUUCGCCGGCACCUAUAGAUGGAUCCGCGCCUGAUUAGCUAGUUGGUAAGGUAACGGCUUACCAAGGCGACGAUGAGUAGCUGGCGUGAGAGGAUGAUCAGCCACAAUGGGACGGAGACACGGGACAGACUCCUACGGGAGGCAGCAGUAGGGUAUUGGGCGCAAUGGGCGGAAGCCUGACGGAGCAACGGCGCGUGAACGAUUAAGCCCUUGGGGGGGAAAAGUUCUGUCAGUGGGGACGAAACUUGACGGUACCCACAGAGGAAGCACCGGCUAACUCCGUG
Molecule: ribosomal RNA, 473 nt
Filed under: uncultured bacterium
Lineage: Bacteria
Description: partial 16S ribosomal RNA
Rfam family: Bacterial small subunit ribosomal RNA
Source: RNAcentral